RNAcentral lists this ribosomal RNA (430 nucleotides) under uncultured bacterium. RNAcentral's name for it is "partial 16S ribosomal RNA". It matches the Rfam family "Bacterial small subunit ribosomal RNA", at positions 354 to 796 of the family's 1533-position model. The record is from RNAcentral.
GUGGGGAAUAUUGCACAAUGGGCGGAAGCCUGAUGCAGCAACGCCGCGUGCGGGAUGACGGCCUUCGGGUUGUAAACCGCUUUCAGCAGGGACGAAGCGCAAGUGACGGUACCUGCAGAAGAAGCACCGGCUAACUACGUGCCAGCAGCCGCGGUGAUACGUAGGGUGCGACCGUUGUCCGGAUUUAUUGGGCGUAAAGAGCUUGUAGGCGGUUGGUUGCGUCGAAAGUGCAAACUCAGGGCUUAACUCUGAGCCUGCUUUCGAUACGGGCUGACUGGAGGAAGGUAGGGGAGAAUGGAAUUCCCGGUGGAGCGGUGGAAUGCGCAGAUAUCGGGAGGAACACCAGUGGCGAAGGCGGUUCUCUGGACCUUUCCUGACGCUGAGAAGCGAAAGCGUGGGGAGCAAACAGGCUUAGAAACCCUAGUAGUCC